GGACGUACACAAAGGACCAAAAAAUUUAAACUAUAAUAUAACCUUAAGCAUAGGCUUAUAUAUACUUAGCUCCCCUAGUCAACAAUAUUCUGGCCUGCAUUCAACUCAAAGUGCCAGAUUCAGAUCACCUCUCUUCCAUUAAUUACAUUCCUGCUAAUUCUGGGAAAGAUAGCUAAAACUAAUUUCUCUGAGGAUGAACAAGAGUUGAUAAUCAUGUACAAAUUGACUGGAGAGAGGUGGUCGCUUAUUGCUUAUAGCUGGGAGAAUCCCCGGGAGAGGUGCAGAGGAGAUUGAGAAGUACUGAACUAUCUCCUCUACUGGUCAUGACAGAAACGGCGUCAUUGAUAUGUCCUGAAU
This is a long non-coding RNA of Nicotiana tabacum (common tobacco), 357 nucleotides long. RefSeq lists it as uncharacterized. The record is from RefSeq and is a predicted model, not a curated record. Lineage: Eukaryota; Viridiplantae; Streptophyta; Magnoliopsida; Solanales; Solanaceae.